RNAcentral lists this transfer RNA (75 nucleotides) under Verrucomicrobiota bacterium. RNAcentral's name for it is "Verrucomicrobia bacterium (wastewater metagenome) tRNA-Val". It matches the Rfam family "tRNA". Rfam says of the family: Transfer RNA (tRNA) molecules are approximately 80 nucleotides in length. The record is from RNAcentral. Lineage: Bacteria; Pseudomonadati; Verrucomicrobiota. RNAcentral also lists the same sequence under 1 other name.
GCGCGCUUAGCUCAGUGGUAGAGCAUUUCCUUCACACGGAAGGGGUCGUAGGUUCAAUCCCUACAGCGCGCACCA